AAAAAAAAUAUAUAUAUAUAUGCACACACAAAUAACUGUCUUAUACAUCUGAAACUAACACAACGUUGUAAAUCAAUUCUAUUCAAAUAUAAAAUUAUGUAGAAAAAAUAAAAAUAAAAUUACAUAUGAUAUACACUGCAAUUUUCAAAAAACUGCUCAGCCCCACUGCCUAUUCCCAAACUUAUCCUCUCCUCCUCAGCCCCCUCACCAGCUGUGGAAACUGAAACACCAGCCCUUUCUGCCUGCAGCAGCCCCCAGAGCUCUAAUACUUAGCAAGGAACCACGUGCUCCACAACCUGGCCAACAGAAGAAAUUCUGUAACACCUUUCAAGAGCUUUCACUCACAAGGGAUGGAGCCUUAAGAAGAGUCUCAAACUCCAGGAGACCCUGAGGACCCCAAGAAGGACAGCACAGCAUCCUACAUCCCGCACAGGAUGCCUGACGGUUUGAGGGCCCUGCCCGGCAGGCGCACACUUGCUCCUCAUCAGAGCUCUGAGGGGGGGAUCCCUGCAGAAGGAAGCCUCCAAAAGGCACCCCUGGAGCUGCUCAGACGCAGACGUCCUCUUUGUCAGCCUUGAGAAAGGGGCAAAAAGGCUGUGGCAAGGGAUGCCUCAACACCGGAUUCAGUGAUUCUCUCCGGCUCCUCUGACUCUCCCCUCUGAGGAGCUGGCAGGGCACCUGAGGCAGGGAAGGCAGCCAAGGCUGAGCCCAGCCACCAGGGGGCGGCCAGGAACAGCCACCAGGAAGGGUGGCCCUGAGACAAAGACCCAAGGUGGUCACCCGCUUCACACGCCCCCAAACAGAGACUGCGUCCCCUGGGCUCUGGAUCCUUUGGCUGCACAAAUGGCUGCACAGAAAUGUUCUUCAAGGGACACGAGAACCGAGGCCCCUUAAAGGGUUUCACUCACCCUUUAUUCUUUGCCCCAUUCUUGCUGCUGCCUGGAGAUGGGGGUCUUGGACUGGCAGUCUUGGGCUCCUGGUCAACAUUUUUUUUUGUUGUUUGUUUUUUUGUUUUUAUGGGGCCGCACCCACAGCAUAUGGAGCGGCCAUAGAAAAGGCAAAAAGACAAAAAUAAAGAAAGAAAGAAAAAUAAAAGAGCAAGCCAGCAUAAUAUUUAAAAAAAGAGACAACAAGGGAGAGAUGGGGGAGAAACUUUAAAUUAAAAAAAAAAAGCCAAACCUCAAGAUUUCCCUUGGUGGCUCACUGGUGAACAAACCCAACCAGGAACCAUGAGGACGUAGGUUCCAUCCCUAGCCUCCCUCAGUGGGUUAAGGAUCUGGAGUUGCCAUGAGCUAUGGUGGAGGUCACAGAAGUGGCUUGGAUCCCGCACUGCUGUGGCUGUGGUAUAGAACGGCAGCUGUAGCUCUGAUUCAAACCUUAGCCUUGGAACUUCCAUAUGCUGUGGAUAGCGUCCUAAAACAACACAAAAAAACACAUCUCAGAUUAAAAUAAUUAUCAAACAAAAGAAAAGACUUCCACAAAGGACUCUG
RNAcentral lists this long non-coding RNA (1490 nucleotides) under Sus scrofa (pig). Its description in RNAcentral is "lncRNA (ENSSSCG00040034528.1)". Lineage: Eukaryota; Metazoa; Chordata; Mammalia; Artiodactyla; Suidae. The record is from RNAcentral.